Molecule: ribosomal RNA, 468 nt
Filed under: uncultured bacterium
Lineage: Bacteria
Description: partial 16S ribosomal RNA
Rfam family: Bacterial small subunit ribosomal RNA
Source: RNAcentral
GACGAACGCUGGCGGCGUGCUUAACACAUGCAAGUCGAACGGAAAGGCCCUGCUUUUGUGGGGUGCCAGAGUGGCGAACGGGUGAGUAACACGUGAGUAUCCUGCCCUUGACUUUGGGAUAACUUCAAGAAACUGGGGCUACUACCGGAUAGGAGCUCCUGCUGCAUGGUGGGCGUUGGAAAGUUUCGGCGGAUGGGGAUGGACUCGCGGGUUAUCAGCUUGUUGGUGGAGUACUGGCUUAGCCAGGCAUUGACGGCUGGUCGGCCUGAGAGGGUGGCCGGCCACAUUGGGACUGCGGUACGGCCCAGUCUCCUAUGUGAGGCAGCAGUGGGGAAUAUUGCACAGUGGGGGGAAGCGUGAUGCAGCAACGCCGCGUGCGGGAUGACGGCCUUGGGGUUGUAAACCGCUUUCGCCUGUGACGAAGCGUGAGUGACGGUAAUGGGUAAAGAAGCACCGGCUAACUACGUG